GACGAACGCUGGCGGCGUGCUUAACACAUGCAAGUCGAACGGAAAGGCCCUGCUUUUGUGGGGUGCUCGAGUGGCGAACGGGUGAGUAACACGUGAGUAACCUGCCCUUGACUUUGGGAUAACUUCAGGAAACUGGGGCUAAUACCGGAUAGGAGCUCCUGCUGCAUGGUGGGGGUUGGAAAGUUUCGGCGGUUGGGGAUGGACUCGCGGCUUAUCAGCUUGUUGGUGGGGUAGUGGCUUACCAAGGCUUUGACGGGUAGCCGGCCUGAGAGGGUGACCGGCCACAUUGGGACUGAGAUACGGCCCAGACGCCUACGGGAGGCAGCAGUGGAGAAUAUUGCGCAAUGGGCGGAAGCCUGAUGCAGCAACGCCGCGUGCGGGAUGACGGCCUUCGGGUUGUAAACCGCUUUCGCCUGUGACGAAGCGUGAGUGACGGUAAUGGGUAAAGAAGCACCGGCUAACUACGUG
Molecule: ribosomal RNA, 468 nt
Filed under: uncultured bacterium
Lineage: Bacteria
Description: partial 16S ribosomal RNA
Rfam family: Bacterial small subunit ribosomal RNA
Source: RNAcentral